CGGCAAAAGCUCAAAUUUGAAAUCUGGCUCUUUCAGGGUCCGAGUUGUAAUUUGUAGAAGAUGUUUCGGGUGUGGCUCCGGUUUAAGUUCUUUGGAAUAUUACAUCAUAGAGGGUGAGAAUCCCGUAUGUGACCGGCAGCCUCCGCCUAUGUGAAACUCUUUCGAC
This 166-nucleotide ribosomal RNA is filed under the name Tetracladium breve. Its description in RNAcentral is "partial large subunit ribosomal RNA". It matches the Rfam family "Eukaryotic large subunit ribosomal RNA", at positions 99 to 261 of the family's 3401-position model. The record is from RNAcentral. Lineage: Eukaryota; Fungi; Ascomycota; Leotiomycetes; Helotiales.